GAGGGUGUAACUCAGUUGGUAAGAGUGCUUGCCUAGAGGGUUAGAGAGAUGGCUCUGAGGUUAAGAAUACUGGCUGCUUUUCCAGAGGUCCUGAGUUUAAUUCCUAGCAUCUUCA
RNAcentral lists this transfer RNA (115 nucleotides) under Mesocricetus auratus (golden hamster). It matches the Rfam family "tRNA". From Rfam's summary of the family: Transfer RNA (tRNA) molecules are approximately 80 nucleotides in length. Their secondary structure includes four short double-helical elements and three loops (D, anti-codon, and T loops). Lineage: Eukaryota; Metazoa; Chordata; Mammalia; Rodentia; Cricetidae. The record is from Rfam by way of RNAcentral.